Molecule: transfer RNA, 87 nt
Filed under: Danionella translucida
Lineage: Eukaryota; Metazoa; Chordata; Actinopteri; Cypriniformes; Danionidae
Also listed under: 1 other name
Rfam family: tRNA
About the family: Transfer RNA (tRNA) molecules are approximately 80 nucleotides in length. Their secondary structure includes four short double-helical elements and three loops (D, anti-codon, and T loops).
Source: Rfam by way of RNAcentral
AGCUCUGUGGCGCAAUGGACAGCGCAUUGGACAUCUAGGACAGAUGAAGGCAUUUAAAGGUUGUGGGUUCGAGUCCCACCAGAGUCA